Molecule: ribosomal RNA, 442 nt
Filed under: uncultured bacterium
Lineage: Bacteria
Description: partial 16S ribosomal RNA
Rfam family: Bacterial small subunit ribosomal RNA
Source: RNAcentral
CCUACGGGAGGCAGCAGUGGGGAAUAUUGGGCAAUGGGCGCAAGCCUGACCCAGCAACGCCGCGUAAAGGAAGAAGGCCCUCGGGUUGUAAACUUCUUUUAACAGGGACGAAGAAAGUGACGGUACCUGUUGAAAAAGCAUCGGCUAACUCCGUGCCAGCAGCCGCGGUAAUACGGAGGAUGCGAGCGUUAUCCGGAUUUAUUGGGUUUAAAGGGUGCGCAGGCGGAAGAUCAAGUCAGCGGUAAAAUUGAGAGGCUCAACCUCUUCGAGCCGUUGAAACUGGUUUUCUUGAGUGAGCGAGAAGUAUGCGGAAUGCGUGGUGUAGCGGUGAAAUGCAUAGAUAUCACGCAGAACUCCGAUUGCGAAGGCAGCAUACCGGCGCUCAACUGACGCUCAUGCACGAAAGUGUGGGUAUCGAACAGGAUUAGAUACCCCUGUAGUC